CUUAGCUAAAGGGUUUA
Molecule: transfer RNA, 17 nt
Filed under: Laudakia wui (Wuis rock agama)
Lineage: Eukaryota; Metazoa; Chordata; Lepidosauria; Squamata; Agamidae
Description: partial tRNA-Ser
Source: RNAcentral